UUAAUGGCUUAUCCCCACCACUGAUCUCACUUACCUGGCCAACCUGAUGAAUUAGAUUUUGAUUAGAUCACUUGGUGAUUAGGGCUCACCCAUGUCAUUAGGUAAAUCAGUUUGACUGAUUUAGGUGCUCCUAAUGCUAGCUUUAAUUAAAUCCUUUUUAAUCUGACUUGGUGAAGUCAGUGGGAGGAUUGAAAUUGGCUAGAUAUUUUUUUCUCAUCUAUCCUUUAAUAAAAUCCUCAAAAAUUAUUAGGUUCCUAAAAAUGAUUAAGUUAUAUUGAUAACUAAGUCAUAGCCUCCCAUUAAGUGAGUGAUAAUGAGUCCAUUAGUUUAAUAAUCAUUGGAGGCCCAAAGGCCUGGUGCUUAUUGACUAAUAAAAUUAUCAUUCAUAAUAUGAUAAUUUGAUUUGAGUCUUUCUGAUGGUGAUCAGGUUGGCCGGCCAAAGUCGGGCCUGAUCAUUUAUUGGUCUGAUUCACCAAAUCAAAUCAUGUUAAUGGUUGGACCUAUCCAGAUCUUUUCAGUGAAGGCCAAAGCCUACUGAUUAGGUUUUGGGGCAAAAUCAAUUACUAGAAGUUGUUUAGAGAAACAACUGGUUAUGAACCUACCCAUAGAUGCACAUGGGUUGACCAACCAAAGUUGGGCUCGUGUGUAGUCUGUGUGGAUUCUAGUACCCACUAAGGAAUUAAAGUAAUUCCU
RNAcentral lists this long non-coding RNA (693 nucleotides) under Elaeis guineensis (African oil palm). RNAcentral describes it as "long non-coding RNA (EGUI_LNC075899)". The record is from RNAcentral. Lineage: Eukaryota; Viridiplantae; Streptophyta; Magnoliopsida; Arecales; Arecaceae.